GUAGCAGUGUAAAUGAAAUGAAAUGACUGUGUAAUAAGUCUGUGAGCCUUAUGCUAUUAUCUUUCACAUAUAUUUGUAAUAUUCCAUUAUGCCAGUUUUCAAAAAUAUUUUCUUCUAUUAAUAUUUUCUAAGUUUUAUGUCUUUAAGGCAAUAUUUUUCAACUUGAGACAAUAUACUUUUUAUUCUUAGCAUUUCGUUGUUAAAUUACUUUAUUCUUACUAUAUUUAAAUGUUUUUCUGUCUUUAGACAGGACUCUAAAAAUCAAAUGAUGUCUAUAUCCAGAGAGACCAGAUAAAUGAGCAGUUUGGAAGCUAAAGAAGGUUCAGUACCCUGAGAAUGGAGAAGAAUCCUACUUUGGAGACAAAUUUUUCAAGUGUGGAUCCCAUUAUGAAGGACAAAAGAGAAGCAGUGGGUGAAGGCCUUUCUACAUUCC
RNAcentral lists this long non-coding RNA (433 nucleotides) under Ursus thibetanus thibetanus. RNAcentral describes it as "lncRNA (ENSUTTG00000012750.1)". The record is from RNAcentral. Lineage: Eukaryota; Metazoa; Chordata; Mammalia; Carnivora; Ursidae.